This 205-nucleotide long non-coding RNA is filed under the name Carica papaya (papaya). RNAcentral describes it as "long non-coding RNA (CPAP_LNC011425)". Lineage: Eukaryota; Viridiplantae; Streptophyta; Magnoliopsida; Brassicales; Caricaceae. The record is from RNAcentral.
UACCCUGUCCGGUAUGAGGGUGAACUAUAUCUCCCAAAUCCUUCCAAUAUGAGAUUUCUCAAUCCUAUCUAACUGAAAUAAUGUGUAUAGUAGAAUUUUUCCUAUGUACUCAGUCCGUCCACCCUUUUCUAGGGUACUCAGUAAGCCUUUUAUAGAUAAAUUCACAACAUUAAUCAAUCAUCAAUUAUAUAUCAAUAUCUCAUAU